This 216-nucleotide non-coding RNA is filed under the name Virgibacillus salexigens. RNAcentral's name for it is "T-box". It matches the Rfam family "T-box leader". Rfam says of the family: Uncharged tRNA acts as the effector for transcription antitermination of genes in the T-box leader family. T-boxes are found upstream of many aminoacyl-tRNA synthetase genes and some amino acid biosynthetic genes usually in Gram-positive bacteria. The record is from RNAcentral. Lineage: Bacteria; Bacillati; Bacillota; Bacilli; Caryophanales; Bacillaceae.
AAAAAGGCAGUGAAGAGGCUAGUAGUACCAUGUACGUACGAAAGAGAAUGGGAUUCAUCGGCUGAAAGAUCCCAACGUCAACGACGGGUAUGAACCUACCUCUGAGCCGUUAGUUAAAAACUGACCGCAGAUAAGACUGUGUUAAAAAUAAAAGCUGGACAUAGGAAAUCUAUGUCAAUUUAGGUGGUACCGCGGAAAACCCUUUUCGUCCUUCAU